UACAGAGGGCUCGAGCGUUAGGCGGAAUCACUGGGCUUAAAGCGUGUGUAGGUGGAUGCCUAAGUACCUUGUGAAAUCCCACAGCUUAACUGUGGAACUGCUUGGUAUACUGGGUGUCUUGAGUCACUCAGGGGCGAGCGGAACAAAUGGUGGAGCGGUGAAAUGCGUAGAUAUCAUUUGGAACGCCAAUGGUGAAAACGGCUCGCUGGGGGUGUACUGACACUGAGGUACGAAAGCGUGGGGAGCAAACAGG
RNAcentral lists this ribosomal RNA (253 nucleotides) under uncultured bacterium. RNAcentral's name for it is "partial 16S ribosomal RNA". It matches the Rfam family "Bacterial small subunit ribosomal RNA", at positions 524 to 776 of the family's 1533-position model. The record is from RNAcentral.